GGCUGCAGCCAUACUACCCUGAAUACCCAGAUCUCGUAAGCUAAUCAGGGUCGGACCUGGUUAGUACUUGGAUGAUGGGAAGCUGCCUGGGAAUGCUGGGUGCUGUAGGCU
Molecule: ribosomal RNA, 111 nt
Organism: Myotis lucifugus (little brown bat)
Lineage: Eukaryota; Metazoa; Chordata; Mammalia; Chiroptera; Vespertilionidae
Source: Ensembl